Molecule: ribosomal RNA, 515 nt
Filed under: uncultured bacterium
Lineage: Bacteria
Description: partial 16S ribosomal RNA
Rfam family: Bacterial small subunit ribosomal RNA
Source: RNAcentral
GAUGAACGCUGGCGGCGUGCCUAAUACAUGCAAGUCGAGCGAAUGGAUUAAGAGCUUGCUCUUAUGAAGUUAGCGGCGGACGGGUGAGUAACACGUGGGUAACCUGCCCAUAAGACUGGGAUAACUCCGGGAAACCGGGGCUAAUACCGGAUAACAUUUUGAACCGCAUGGUUCGAAAUUGAAAGGCGGCUUCGGCUGUCACUUAUGGAUGGACCCGCGUCGCAUUAGCUAGUUGGUGAGGUAACGGCUCACCAAGGCAACGAUGCGUAGCCGACCUGAGAGGGUGGUCGGCAACACUGGAACUGAGACACGGCACAGACUCCUACGGGAGGCAGCAGUAGGGAAUCUUCCGCAAUGGACGAAAGUCUGACGGAGCAACGCCGCGUGAGUGAUGAAGGCUUUCGGGUCGUAAAACUCUGUUGUUAGGGAAGAACAAGUGCUAGUUGAAUAAGCUGGCACCUUGACGGUACCUAACCAGAAAGCCACGGCUAACUACGUGCCAGCCGCCGCAGUAA